GACGAACGCUGGCGGCGUGCUUAACACAUGCAAGUCGAACGGUAAGGCCCUUCGGGGUACACGAGUGGCGAACGGGUGAGUAACACGUGGGUGAUCUGCCCUGCACUUCGGGAUAAGCCUGGGAAACUGGGUCUAAUACCGGAUAGGACCCUGGGAUGCAUGUCCUGGGGUGGAAAGCUUUUGCGGUGUGGGAUGGGCCCGGGGCCUAUCAGCUUGUUGGUGGGGUGAUGGCCUACCAGGGCGACGACGGGUAGCCGGCCUGAGAGGGUGACCGGCCACACGGGGACUGAGAUACGGCCCAGACUCCUACGGGAGGCAGCAGUGGGGAAUAUUGCACAAUGGGCGCAUGCCUGAUGCAGCGACGCCGCGUGAGGGAUGACGGCCUUCGGGUUGUAAACCUCUUUCAGCACCGACGAAGCGCAAAUGACGGUAGGUGCAGAAGAAGGACCGGCCAACUACGUGCCAGCCGCCGCGGUAA
Molecule: ribosomal RNA, 478 nt
Filed under: uncultured bacterium
Lineage: Bacteria
Description: partial 16S ribosomal RNA
Rfam family: Bacterial small subunit ribosomal RNA
Source: RNAcentral